AGAGUUUGAUCCUGGCUCAGGAUGAACGCUGGCGGCGUGCCUAACACAUGCAAGUCGAACGGGGUGUCCGAUCUUCGGACUGGACACUUAGUGGCGGACGGGUGAGUAACGCGUGGGUAACCUGCCUCAUACAGGGGGAUAGCAGUUGGAAACGACUGAUAAUACCGCAUAAGCGCACAGUACCGCAUGGUACAGUGUGAAAAACUCCGGUGGUAUGAGAUGGACCCGCGUCUGAUUAGCUUGUUGGCGGGGUAACGGCCCACCAAGGCGACGAUCAGUAGCCGGCCUGAGAGGGUGAACGGCCACAUUGGGACUGAGACACGGCCCAAACUCCUACGGGAGGCAGCAGUGGGGAAUAUUGCACAAUGGGGGAAACCCUGAUGCCAGCGACGCCGCGUGAAGGAUGAAGUAUUUCGGUAUGUAAACUUCUAUCAGCAGGGAAGAUGAUGACGGUACCUGACUAAGAAGCCCCGGCUAACUACGUGCCAGCCGCAGC
Molecule: ribosomal RNA, 496 nt
Filed under: uncultured bacterium
Lineage: Bacteria
Description: bacterial SSU rRNA
Rfam family: Bacterial small subunit ribosomal RNA
Source: RNAcentral